ACCUGCGGAGGAUCAUUAUGGUACUACAGAGGCGCAAAGGUUGUCGCUGACCUUUUCACGAGGUCGUGCACGCCUGAGUGCUCUCACACACAAUCCACCUCACCACUUGUGCACCACCAUGCGGAGGCCCCUUGCUCUUGGCUCGUUUCGAGAGGGGGGAGGCUUUCGUCUUUUUUACACACACACAAUACAGUCUGGUAGUAUAGAAUGUCAUUCAUUUGCGAUAACACGCAAUUAAUACAACUUUCAACAAUGGAUCUCUUGGCUCUCGCAUCGAUGAAGAACGCAGCGAAAUGCGAUACGUAAUGUGAAUUGCAGAAUUCAGUGAAUCAUCGAAUCUUUGAACGCACCUUGCACCCCUUGGCAUUCCGAGGGGUACACCCGUUUGAGUGUCGUGAAAUUCUCAAACCUUCUUGGUUUCUUGACCAAGAAGGCUUUGGACUUUGGAGGUCUUUUGCUGGCUUUGCGAAAAGUCAGCUCCUCUUAAAUGCAUUAGUGGGGUCCUCUUUGCCGAUCCCCAGGCGUUGAUAAGAUGCUUCUACGUCUUGGGAUUGCUCUGUUCAUUGGGAACCCGCUUCUAACCGUCUCACUAUGGGAGACAUUGUUCGAGCUUGCUCGACCCACGAACCUUGACCUCAAAUCGGGUGAGACUACCCGCUGAACUUAAGCAUAUCAAUAAGCGGAGGAAAAGAAACUAACAAGGAUUCCCCUAGUAACUGCGAGUGAAGCGGGAAAAGCUCAAAUUUAAAAUCUGGUGGCUCUAUGGUCAUCCGAGUUGUAAUUUAGAGAAGCGUUUUCCGCGCUGGACCAUGCACAAGUCUCCUGGAAUGGAGCGUCAUAGAGGGUGAGAAUCCCGUCUUUGGCAUGGAUAACCAGGCUUCUGUGAUGCGCUCUCGAAGAGUCGAGUUGUUUGGGAAUGCAGCUCAAAAUGGGUGGUGAACUCCAUCUAAAGCUAAAUAUUGCGAGAGACCGAUAGCGACAGUACCGUGAGGAAGAUGAAAGCACUUUGGGAAGAGAGUGAACAGUACGUGAAAUGUGAAGGAAACGCUGAGUCAGUCCCGUGACAGACUCAGCUUGCCUUGGCUUGGGUGCAAUUCUGGGCCGACGGUCCGGCACUCAUUUGGCC
Molecule: ribosomal RNA, 1126 nt
Filed under: uncultured Russulaceae
Lineage: Eukaryota; Fungi; Basidiomycota; Agaricomycetes; Russulales; Russulaceae
Description: eukaryotic LSU rRNA
Rfam family: Eukaryotic large subunit ribosomal RNA (bases 631-1126)
Source: RNAcentral